GUAAACGGCAGCGCGGGGUAACCUGGCGGCGAGUGGCGAACGGGUGAGUAAUACAUCGGAACGUGCCCUGUGAUGGGGGAUAACUACGCGAAAGCGUAGCUAAUACCGCAUACGACCUACGGGUGAAAGUGGGGGAUCGCAAGACCUCACGUCAUAGGAGCGGCCGAUGGCGGAUUAGCUAGUUGGUGAGGUAAAGGCUUACCAAGGCAACGAUCCGUAGCUGGUCUGAGAGGACGACCAGCCACACUGGGACUGAGACACGGCCCAGACUCCUACGGGAGGCAGCAGUGGGGAAUCUUGGACAAUGGGGGCAACCCUGAUCCAGCAAUGCCGCGUGUGGGAUGAAGGCCUUCGGGUUGUAAACCACUUUUGGCGGGGGCGAAAUAUCGAGUGCUAAUACCAUUCGGUGAUGACGGUACCCGCAGAAUAAGCACCGGCUAACUACGUGCCAGCAGCCGGGG
RNAcentral lists this ribosomal RNA (461 nucleotides) under uncultured Thiomonas sp. RNAcentral describes it as "bacterial SSU rRNA". It matches the Rfam family "Bacterial small subunit ribosomal RNA", at positions 62 to 520 of the family's 1533-position model. Lineage: Bacteria; Pseudomonadati; Pseudomonadota; Betaproteobacteria; Burkholderiales. The record is from RNAcentral.